UCCCUGGUGGUCUAGUGGCUAAGACUCUGUGCUCCCAAUACAGGAGGUCUGGGUUUGAUCCCUGGUCAGGAAA
Molecule: non-coding RNA, 73 nt
Organism: Bos taurus (domestic cattle)
Lineage: Eukaryota; Metazoa; Chordata; Mammalia; Artiodactyla; Bovidae
Source: Rfam